RNAcentral lists this ribosomal RNA (504 nucleotides) under uncultured bacterium. Its description in RNAcentral is "bacterial SSU rRNA". It matches the Rfam family "Bacterial small subunit ribosomal RNA", at positions 28 to 529 of the family's 1533-position model. The record is from RNAcentral.
GAUGAACGCUGGCGGCGUGCCUAACACAUGCAAGUCGAACGGUUCCGGGGGAAGGAAGUAACAUUCCGUUUUCCGGGAUAGUGGCGGACGGGUGAGUAACGCGUGGGCAACCUGCCUUUCACUGGGGGAUAACACAGGGAAACCUGUGCUAAUACCGCAUGACAUACCGGGGGGGCAUCCUCCUGGUAUCAAAGGAGAAAUCCGGUGGAAGAUGGGCCCGCGUCCAAUUAGCUGGUUGGUGGUGUAACGGACCACCAAGGCGACGAUUGGUAGCCGAACUGAGAGGUUGAUCGGCCACAUUGGGACUGAGACACGGCCCAGACUCCUACGGGAGGCAGCAGUGGGGAAUAUUGCGCAAUGGGGGGAACCCUGACGCAGCAACGCCGCGUGAAGGAAGAAGGCUUUCGGGUUGUAAACUUCUUUGGUGAGGGACGAAGGAAGUGACGGUACCUCAGGAACAAGCCACGGCUAACUACGUGCCAGCAGCGCGUAAACAUACUCGUA